GGUCUAUUAGUCUAGUUGGUUAGGACGUCGGAUUCUGAUUUCACAAUCACAUCCUUCCGUAGGCCCAGGUUCGAAUCCUGGAUGGACCU
This 89-nucleotide transfer RNA is filed under the name Colletotrichum falcatum. RNAcentral's name for it is "tRNA-Gln". It matches the Rfam family "tRNA". From Rfam's summary of the family: Transfer RNA (tRNA) molecules are approximately 80 nucleotides in length. Lineage: Eukaryota; Fungi; Ascomycota; Sordariomycetes; Glomerellales; Glomerellaceae. The record is from RNAcentral.